Long non-coding RNA from Thunnus maccoyii (southern bluefin tuna), 2559 nucleotides. RefSeq lists it as uncharacterized. NCBI's taxonomy places the organism in Eukaryota, Metazoa, Chordata, Actinopteri, Scombriformes, Scombridae. The record is from RefSeq and is a predicted model, not a curated record. The transcript has 3 exons.
CAGCAAACAGACACUGGAGGAUAUAAAAAUAAAUAUUAAAUAAAAGCUCUUCUUCAUCCUCAACCUCCCAUUCAACUCUUCCCACACAUACAAUUUCACCAAAAACACCUAAUAACUGUGAAAUCUACAGAAAAGAAAAAAGUAAAUCCAAACACAUUUAUGAGUAAACAUGAAUACUAAUUAUUUUUGGCUUUUAUUUUUUUAACGCGAAUACAUUUAACUCCCGGUGCUAUUCUGGCUGUUGAAUGCUAGCUUGACUCUGCCUUCUCAUUACCAUAGCCAAUAAAUCAAGAGGGAGGGGCCAUGGGAGGCGAGGUUGGGCCUCUCGGAACAUUUACUCGGACUACCAUUUACUGCAUUAUAUAAAUAAAUAACAACACAAUCCUAUUUAUGCGUGUGGUUUAGAGUGACUCUUACAUUCAACAUUCAUUUACAAUCAGUCAUUUCAUACUCUUUUCUGCACACAUCAUGUUUUGCAUUUGCUGCCUCUCUCUUUUCUCUCUUUCAUACAGGGCACGAGGAUUCACUGCAUGGUUUGAUGAGUGUGAAGAUGUGAAUCAUGUGCUAUAUGGCCUUCACAGUGACCAAAAUCUCAAGCCAGUUGAACUCCUAUGUGAGAUUUUUAGGGCAUCAUGUUAGACAGCACUCUUCAUCACCAAAAGAUCAACUCUUUGGGAGGAAUGGGCUCCAUCGCUCCAGAAGAGAUCAGAAACUUUCAAUGGCAAGGAGCAUCGAAGCUGUUCUGGAGAUUCAAGGAGAGUCUUGUUCUGGGUGAGGUGCUGGCUGCUCAGCUGGUUCAUCCUGGUUGAUGGUUAAACACGUCUGGAUGGCAGUGAUGGCGGGAAGUCCACCUUCUCCUGGAUAGACAGGACCACAACGUCUCUGAUGGAGCGUGAGAAGAGCUGCUGCGACGGCAUGUCGAAGGACGUGUUUGACGGAGGCAACCAGAAGCCCUGCAGGACUUUAGUAAACACCUCCAUCACCACCUCCUGUGGACCGAGCAGUUUGGAGAUGGGGACCUUGGCACAUAAUUAACCUGCCAUACGCAGUCUGCUUUGUGCACUGUGUAGAUGGAAACUCAGAAAUGACAAAAACAAUGCAGAGAGAGAGCAGGAAUUUGGAGUCAUUAGGGCCGCCCUAACAGGUUAGUCUGGCCAUGCUGCUGUUUUGUCCACCUUGACUUGGGAGGUGAAUGCUGAGAGACUUCCUGUAGUUUCACGUCUUAUUUCAACAGGCUAAAGUAAUGCAUACAGUAAGUUGAUAAUGUCCUUUAAGUACCAUAGGUAAAUAUUAAACAUCCACUCUAUUUAAUAGUCCAAUUGAUUCCAUCUAAAAGCCCACAAGGACAUAUGUUUGCAUUGACACUUCAAAGUGAAAAAAAAAAUGUAUAAAACCAAACAGAAGGUGGCAGUGUUGGAAAGGCUAAAGCAUAUGUAGUGGAUAACCUGUAAUAGUGAAAAGCUGUCUGCCUCUCCCCCUCAUUGUUUUUCCCUACUCUAUCUGUAAAGCAUCCAAACAGUCACAUUAUAGUAGAAGUCUGAAAGCUGGACUAUAUGAAAUGGGUCCCUGAAUGAUGAGCUAAGAGAGUCUUUUAAUUAACAUGUAUGAAAAGGCUGAUCAUGUUUUUUUUGUUUUUUUUACAGUCUACAGACUUAAAAAGACACACAAAACAAUUUAUAGAGUGUGACAGCAUUUAUCUUAGUUUAUUUAUGAGUCAUUUUUGACAUACAAAUCAUUUUGUGGUUUGCACUGUCUUCAAAGUCAGCACAUCUCAAGUUCCUCAAGCCUUCAUAAUAACCCAUUUAUAAUCAGUUUUUCCUUCACAUGACAAUGACUAUAUAUUAUUAGAUAGAUUAGAUAUUUUAUGGAUGUAACUGUAGUUGGAGCACUCAUAGAAAUAAAAUUAGGCAAGAAAGUUCUGAAGCAAUGUUGCCAAAGUAGCUAUAUCGUUAUUACAGCGGUGGCCUCAACUGCAAUCUCACCUCUCAGUUCUUCUUUCUGACCAUUCAGCAAUAUUUUGUGGCCUUCAGUUUCAGUUUAUCCUGACCAAAGCUACCAAUGGUGAUUCAAUUCAACCUUACUGACUAACACAGGGUUUGCUAGUUCACUCAGACCCGAACUACAACAAUCUGUAAACAUCAAUAGAGGUGACUGUGUUAAUCCUCAAAUGUGAAUAUGGGAGACGACUAACUGCUUCAUCAGUGUUUUUUGUAUUUCUCUCUCAACGUUUGCUAAAGCUAAAAACAAACAACUUGUUCAUCUUCAAUGUAAAAUUCAGUCAGUCAAGACUUUACAGAAGCAACACUUUUCGAAUGAACAAGCAGCCCAGGAUAUCUAAGGAUAUAAGCUUAAUUUCUUGAAAACACUUAAAGCAGUGAGUAGUGAACAGCACUCAAAGACCUGCAGCCAUGGACAAUAGUGUACUUGUGACCCACUCUACUUCUGUUUAACUGUACUCCCUUUUUUAAGGUCAUUUUAUGUUUAUGUACCUGUUUGUGCUGCCUGUUGAUUGUUUGUUAUAAAAACUUGUUCCCCUUGAUCAAUAAAAAAUCUUGAGAA